This 84-nucleotide ribosomal RNA is filed under the name Carum carvi. RNAcentral's name for it is "partial 5.8S ribosomal RNA". It matches the Rfam family "5.8S ribosomal RNA", at positions 73 to 154 of the family's 154-position model. From Rfam's summary of the family: 5.8S ribosomal RNA (5.8S rRNA) is a component of the large subunit of the eukaryotic ribosome. It is transcribed by RNA polymerase I as part of the 45S precursor that also contains 18S and 28S rRNA. The record is from RNAcentral. Lineage: Eukaryota; Viridiplantae; Streptophyta; Magnoliopsida; Apiales; Apiaceae.
UGCAGAAUCCCGUGAACCAUCGAGUCUUUGAACGCAAGUUGCGCCCGAAGCCAUUAGGUUGAGGGCACGUCUGCCUGGGUGUCA